GAUGAACGCUAGCUACAGGCUUAACACAUGCAAGUCGAGGGGCAGCACUAGGUAGCAAUACUGAGGUGGCGACCGGCGCACGGGUGCGUAACGCGUAUCCAACCUUCCCGUUACUCUUGGAUAGCCUUCCGAAAGGGAGAUUAAUACAAGAUGGUAUUCAAAUUCCGCAUGUUAUUUGAAUUAAAGAUUUAUCGGUAACGGAUGGGGAUGCGUGACAUUAGAUAGUAGGCGGGUAACGGCCCACCUAGUCUACGAUGUCUAGGGGUUCUGAGAGGAAGGUCCCCCACACUGGAACUGAGACACGGUCCAGACUCCUACGGGAGGCAGCAGUGAGGAAUAUUGGUCAAUGGUCGGAAGACUGAACCAGCCAAGUAGCGUGAAGGAUGAAGGUUCUAUGGAUUGUAAACUUCUUUUAUACGGGAAUAAAACCUCCCACGUGUGGGAGCUUGUAUGUACCGUAUGAAUAAGCAUCGGCUAACUCCGUG
This 485-nucleotide ribosomal RNA is filed under the name uncultured bacterium. Its description in RNAcentral is "bacterial SSU rRNA". It matches the Rfam family "Bacterial small subunit ribosomal RNA", at positions 28 to 507 of the family's 1533-position model. The record is from RNAcentral.